UACGGAGGGGGCUAGCGUUGUUCGGAAUUACUGGGCGUAAAGCGUGCGCAGGCGGUUUUGUAAGACAGAUGUGAAAUCCCCGGGCUUAACCUGGGAACUGCAUUUGUGACUGCAAGGCUAGAGUACGGCAGAGGGGGGUAGAAUUCCACGUGUAGCAGUGAAAUGCGUAGAUAUGUGGAGGAAUACCGAUGGCGAAGGCGGCACCCUGGGUCGAUACUGACGCUCAUGCCCGAAAGCGUGGGGAGCAAACAGG
RNAcentral lists this ribosomal RNA (253 nucleotides) under uncultured bacterium. RNAcentral's name for it is "partial 16S ribosomal RNA". It matches the Rfam family "Bacterial small subunit ribosomal RNA", at positions 524 to 776 of the family's 1533-position model. The record is from RNAcentral.